Molecule: ribosomal RNA, 460 nt
Filed under: uncultured bacterium
Lineage: Bacteria
Description: partial 16S ribosomal RNA
Rfam family: Bacterial small subunit ribosomal RNA
Source: RNAcentral
CCUACGGGAGGCAGCAGUGGGGAAUAUUGGUCAAUGGGCUUACGCCUGAACCAGCCAAGUCGCGUGAGGGAAGACUGCCCUAUGGGUUGUAAACCUCUUUUGUCAGGGAGCAACGCCGGCUACGUGUAGCCGGACUGAGAGUACCUGAAGAAAAAGCAUCGGCUAACUCCGUGCCAGCAGCCGCGGUAAUACGGAGGAUGCGAGCGUUAUCCGGAUUUUUUGGGUUUAAAGGGUGCGUAGGCGGAAUGCCAAGUCAGCGGUAAAAUCGCGGGGCUCAACCUCGCUCCGCCGUUGAAACUGGCGUUCUUGAGUGGGCGAGAAGUAUGCGGAAUGCGUGGUGUAGCGGUGAAAUGCAUAGAUAUCACGCAGAACUCCGAUUGCGAAGGCAGCAUACCGGCGCCCAACUGACGCUGAAGCACGAAAGCGUGGGUAUCGAACAGGAUUAGAUACCCUAGUAGUC